Molecule: long non-coding RNA, 321 nt
Organism: Cucurbita moschata (crookneck pumpkin)
Lineage: Eukaryota; Viridiplantae; Streptophyta; Magnoliopsida; Cucurbitales; Cucurbitaceae
Exons: 3
Source: RefSeq, a predicted model, not a curated record
GGAGUGGAUUGUGAGAUUCCACACAUGAACAAACAUUCCUUAUUAGUGUGUGGAAAUCUCUCCCUAUUAAACGCAUUUUAAAACCGUGAGAUUGACGAUGAUAUAUAACAGGGGAAAGCGGACAAUAUCUGCUAACAGUAAGUUUGAGCUGUUAUAAAUGAUAUUAGAGCUAGGAACCGAGUAGUGUGCCAAUAAAGACACUAGUCCCCUAAAGGGGUGGAUUAUGAGAUCUUGUAUCGGUUGGAGAGAGGAACGAGCAUUUCUUACAGGGGUAUGGAAACCACUCCCUAACAUAUACGUUUUAAAAUUGUGAGACUGACG